RNAcentral lists this small RNA (417 nucleotides) under Histoplasma capsulatum. Its description in RNAcentral is "hypothetical RNA". RNAcentral also lists the same sequence under 1 other name. The record is from RNAcentral. Lineage: Eukaryota; Fungi; Ascomycota; Eurotiomycetes; Onygenales; Ajellomycetaceae.
CAGGAGAGAUAUUCUGUAUGAAAAACCGGGUUCGGUUGCUCUCACCAACCCAGCAGGCUCUGUGAUGAUGGCCUGCUCGCUGACACAAGGCUGAACAUCCAAGAGAGCUGGGUUCAUGCCUGGUGUCCUCCACUUGGUUAAGCUAGCUGAACGUUUCGCUGGGUUCUCUGCUCCCUGAUUGGGAGUGAAGCCGCCACUCCAGUUUCGUGCUGGUGAAGUAAAGAAUAAAAAUCUGGGUAUCAUGGAAUCUUUUUUAAAGUUGUUGGCGAAAGAGGGGUAUCUAAGAGAAGGAUACAAGAAAAAUGCUGAUGAUUGAUGAGGGUAAUAUGGGGUUGCUGGGAUGUUAUAUACUUCCCAUGUGGCCAUUGCAUAGAAUCCAUCCGUUGUUGACAAAAAGGCUACGAAUUAAAGUCCGGG